UCAAAGCCAAAAAGGAGCCGUACACCCAAUGGAAGGGAGGGCCAUCACCAAGGAGGAUUAUGUCUCCAUUGCUUGAGAUUGUAGGGUGGCUGUAAGGCAGGCUAAGGCAGAGAUGGAACUGGGACUAGCGAUCCAGAUGAAGGAUAACAGGAAGUCCUUUU
This is a long non-coding RNA of Gavialis gangeticus (Gharial), 161 nucleotides long. RefSeq lists it as uncharacterized. The transcript has 3 exons. The record is from RefSeq and is a predicted model, not a curated record. Lineage: Eukaryota; Metazoa; Chordata; Crocodylia; Gavialidae.